RNAcentral lists this unclassified non-coding RNA (250 nucleotides) under plant metagenome. RNAcentral's name for it is "partial contains small subunit ribosomal RNA, internal transcribed spacer 1, and 5.8S ribosomal RNA". The stretch from base 202 to 250 matches the Rfam family "5.8S ribosomal RNA", at positions 1 to 49 of the family's 154-position model. The record is from RNAcentral.
GUUGGUGAACCAGCGGAGGGAUCAUUACAGAGUUGCAAAACUCCCAACCAUUGUGAAUCUACCUCACCGUUGCUUCGGCGGGUGGCCCGGCUAUACACCCGGGCCGCGCCGGCCCCCCCUAGCGGGAGCCGGCAACCCGUCAGAAGACCCACAACUCUUAGUCAUCAUUGGCCUCUCUGAGUAACUUAUACAAUAAGUCAAAACUUUCAACAACGGAUCUCUUGGUUCUGGCAUCGAUGAAGAACGCAGC